UAGGGAAUCUUCGGCAAUGGACGAAAGUCUGACCGAGCAACGCCGCGUGAUUGAACAAGGUUUUCGGAUCGUAAAACUCUGUUGUUAGAGAAGAACAAGGACGUUAGUAACUGAACGUCCCCUGACGGUAUCUAACCAGAAAGCCACGGCUAACUACGUGCCAGCAGCCGCGGUAAUACGUAGGUGGCAAGCGUUGUCCGGAUUUAUUGGGCGUAAAGCGAGCGCAGGCGGUUUCUUAAGUCUGAUGUGAAAGCCCCCGGCUCAACCGGGGAGGGUCAUUGGAAACUGGGAGACUUGAGUGCAGAAGAGGAGAGUGGAAUUCCAUGUGUAGCGGUGAAAUGCGUAGAUAUAUGGAGGAACACCAGUGGCGAAGGCGGCUCUGUGGUCUGUAACUGACGCUGAGGCUCGAAAGCGUGGGGAGCAAACAGG
This 429-nucleotide ribosomal RNA is filed under the name Gemmatimonadota bacterium. Its description in RNAcentral is "Gemmatimonadetes bacterium partial 16S ribosomal RNA". It matches the Rfam family "Bacterial small subunit ribosomal RNA", at positions 355 to 776 of the family's 1533-position model. Lineage: Bacteria; Pseudomonadati; Gemmatimonadota. The record is from RNAcentral.